This 1412-nucleotide long non-coding RNA is filed under the name Phasianus colchicus (ring-necked pheasant). RNAcentral's name for it is "lncRNA (ENSPCLG00000001563.1)". The record is from RNAcentral. Lineage: Eukaryota; Metazoa; Chordata; Aves; Galliformes; Phasianidae.
AUGAAAACUCGAGCAGCGAGCAGCAAACACCGUUCCUACACUGUCCACACCGAGGUGAGUCGACAGGAUCGCCAUAUACAGACGAUAUUGCUCGCUGUGUGGAGGCCGGAUCCCCACACAGCAGCUGAUGGCAGCAAGUCAUCCAUAGAACUGCUGCCGUGCCCGCGUUCCCCAGGUGUUCCGCCGCAUCCCGGGGCGCGCCGCAGCGGGAAGGCCGCCCCCUGCAGGCAUUUGCUAACUGCUGCCGCGUGCCCGCAGCGACCCGUCCCGCCCCGCGCACGCCUUCCAGCCGCAGCCGGCGUAACCCCGCGCAGCCCCUGCGCCCUGUGCGUGGGGGAGGAGAGAAGGGGAACGGGUGACGGGCGUUCCCGGGAGGAGGCGCGGUCACUUUCCGGCCCGCCGUCUCCGCGGGGGGGUCUCGUAGCCGGCCGUGCCGCCCCGGGGCCGGGGAAGCUAGCGGUGUUUCACAGAAAGACACCAGGAUAACAGCAAGUGAGAUCUUACAUCCUGCUUUCCAGACUGCAAGACCUUUACAUAUGAAGCUAAAAGAAAAGAAUGCCUUCCCAGCUGGCAGUAGGAUUCAGGUUCAUUCCCUCUACAGACUUGCAGCAAUUAUAGGUGAGAUUCUCAGGCACUUAUCAAACCUUGCACACCACUCAUCUGUGAUUCACUGACCUACAGAAAAUGCCCUGGAUGUUUUGGUGAAAGUUAGCACGAGCCAUCACCUAGGAAAAUUCUUCACAGGAAGCUAUCAUGGUCACUACAAUAAGUUACUGACAAAAAUCUUUACCAAUCUAAAUCUUGUAUAAAUAAUUGUAUCAGAGUGAUCUUCUCUAGAGCCUGUCCAGAUAGCCAGCACCUCUGCUGCUUCAUUCUCCAAAAGCUAUGGCUGACAAUUCAGAACCACUGAAGUCAGCCAAUCAUUCUCCUAAGCACACAUCAGGUGAACUGUCACAUGCUGAUUUAUAUCUGACCCAGGGGUUAUGUGGCGGAGGCAGAGGAGGCAGCCGAGGACAAUAAGCACCCUAAUGACUGUGACUCAAAACCACUUCUGAAACUGAAAUUUCCCCUUCGUAUCACUCUUCUUAAAAGCAAGUAAGUGAAUGUUCUUGGCCAUCAGCAAAAACAGGAUACCUUACACAUUAUUUACCUGUGUGUAGUGCAGUGCAUUUUUUGUUGGGGGCAUGGAAAGGGGAACAACAAUUUCUUUGUGACUCUCCAUGGGACAGCCAACUCCUUUCUGGCUCAUAUAUAUAUUACAAAGGUCACAGCCUCAGUCCCUCUACCUCUUUUGUUGUAAUUAAGAAGAUUUACAAUUUUUACAAAAUAGUUUGCUACUUAGAAUGCAGCCUUUCAACAAUGCCUGCUAGGUAAAAAAUAAAAAACAACAAAAAAAAAUGGGGGAGUAGAAA